CUGGGAGAGAAGAUAACAAUCGAACUCCACCACCGCCAACUGCAUCACCUCUGAUUCCCACCACCAACUCAACCAAUUUCAUCGACAGUUCCAGCACCACCUCUUAUAUUCCGACCAAAAAUCACCAGCAGCAACACCACCACCACCUUCUAAACAGUCGAUUUGGAUCUAUUUUUACUUGAUUCAGCUACAAAACUAAAAUCUAGAGAUGAACUAACGAGAAACUAAUCUCCAAAACCUAACAUCGAGCAUGAGAAACGUAAUUUGAGGUAAUCGAUUGGUUCAUUUCAAUUUCAGUUCCAAUUAAAUUGUACUUGAUUCCGUUUUCAAACCCUAAUCCAUAAUAGAAUCAGGUAAUUGAUUGUUUCCUUCUUCAAUUCGUUAUUUCAUCUGUGUUGAAUCAGAGAAGUAGAACUAAACGGGUUUUAUAACUCGAUUUUCAAUUCGUCAUUUUCAUCUGUGUGUGGUGGUGGGUGGGGUAGUAGCAUUUGUGGUGGUGUUUGUGUGCUAGUGGUGAUUUUAUUAGUUAUUUCUUUGUUUGAUUUUAAUUGUGAUGGAAGAGGUGGAAUUGGUGGGGAUCUGAAGUUGGUGGACUAGGGUGUAGAGGCGUUCAACACAAUUUUCAGCUGAAUUCGAGUUCACAGUGCUUUCUAUUUGCACGGAGCAGCUCGCAAUUGGUUAUUCAGGCAUGGCACGGGGAACACAUCAGUUCCUAGCAUUUUAUCAAGGCGAGGUCUAGUAGAAGCAAUGCUAGAGGUAGUGGAUAUCGCAGUGGAUGUGGUUUCUUGUGUUAGCCGUAGUUGUGAUGGUAGUGGUUGUUGUAGUUGUGGUGGGGUAAUUGCGAGAUUCUUGUGUUAGCCGUAGUUGUGAUGGUAGUAGUUGUUGCAGUUGUGGUGGGGGUAAUUGCGAGAGACAAUAUGAACUUAGUGUUGGAUGCGCACAAACUACUAGGUAUGUAUAUGUUGCAGACCAUGAACAUUUGUGUAGUUUUAUACAUCAGUAGUUGUAGUAUAUCUAUUCGGAUGUGACUUUGUAUGUCAUUUUGCAUCAACAAAUCUGUGGUGCAAUAGAAACACGAAUGACUCCAUGUCAUAUGAUGCGUGUUCGACUCACGUCGGGUUCAUUUUUUGUGUAUACUUUUCAUAAUGUGCAGACAACUUGUCCUAGUUGCUUCUAUAUGUGGAGACAACUUGAGCUAGUUGCCUCCAGAUUUGGAGACAACAUCAGCAAGUUGCCUUCAGAUUUGGAGUCAACUUUCAGCAAGUUGCCUUCAGAUUUGGAGUCAACUUUCAGCAAGUUGCCUCUAGAUGGUGGUGGUGGAAUUGGUGGUUGCUGGUGGUGAUGGAUGAAAGUGGUGGUGGUUGGUGGCGGUG
This is a long non-coding RNA of Papaver somniferum (opium poppy), 1373 nucleotides long. RefSeq lists it as uncharacterized. The transcript is spliced from 3 exons. The record is from RefSeq and is a predicted model, not a curated record. Lineage: Eukaryota; Viridiplantae; Streptophyta; Magnoliopsida; Ranunculales; Papaveraceae.